AACUGUAAAAUUAGAAGAUUGCUUUCAGGAAGGCUCAGUUAGUGCAACCCCAGGUUUAUUACCUGGCAAUGGUACUUGGGGAAACGGAAAGACAGUAGAUAGAAGAAAGGUUAAAGCCUUGUGGAGUUAAGGCUCCUUCUCAUCAGUUCCAACUUAGAGCAGUUUGAGGAGGAUUUCAUUUCUUCCAGGAGCGUUAACAUAGCUUUGCCGGUAUCAGCAGACCGGGGUGGAACUUACUGGAAAGGAGUCAGGAACGGAACAAGGAACGUGACGCUGCUUUCACUGGACUGGAAGAAGUGGCUGUAAAAUCUGCUGCCCUCAAAUUCCCAGGACAAGGCAAGCCUUUUUCAGUAAUGCUUUCCACAUCUGCUGAGUCCAUGGGAGCAGCACCGUUAGAAAACAGCGGGUGAUGGAUUUUACUAUGCCUCUAUCAACACGCGCUGGCUGGCAAAGUUACGUCAUGUCCCAGCGGAGACUCUUAGGCAAGACAGAGGAGUUCAGGCGUUCAGAACAUCGGGGAACGACUAUGUGCUGCCAUGAAGAACUACAAGCUCCCGCCCUCAGCCCUUUGUAAGUUAUCAGGCGUCAAGAACGGCCAGGAGACUCCAAAUGCCAGCGGAAAGGUUCUCUGCCUGGUCCUGACGAGGAGCCUUCGGCCGUAGGAGGGUCGGCCGCGUCCUUACCAGACUUGUGAGUAAUAAGCCGCAAUUCACAGACCAGCAAAAGGGGGGGGGGGGGGGAACAGCGACUGGUAGCCCAGUGGCUACAGCAUUGCUGUUGCUAGCA
RNAcentral lists this long non-coding RNA (786 nucleotides) under Apteryx owenii (little spotted kiwi). Its description in RNAcentral is "lncRNA (ENSAOWG00000006274.1)". Lineage: Eukaryota; Metazoa; Chordata; Aves; Apterygiformes; Apterygidae. The record is from RNAcentral.